RNAcentral lists this ribosomal RNA (301 nucleotides) under uncultured bacterium. Its description in RNAcentral is "partial 16S ribosomal RNA". It matches the Rfam family "Archaeal small subunit ribosomal RNA", at positions 459 to 760 of the family's 1478-position model. The record is from RNAcentral.
CAGUCGCCGCGGGAAUACCAGCACCUCGAGUGGUCAGGAGGUUUAUUGGGCCUAAAGCAUCCGUAGCCGGUUGCAUAAGUUUUCGGUUAAAUCUAUGCGCUUAACGUAUAGGCCGCCGAAAAUACUGUGCAGCUAGGGAGUGGGAGAGGUACACGGUACUCGAUAGGAAGGGGUAAAAUCCUUUGAUCUAUUGAUGACCACCUGUGGCGAAGGCGGUGUACCAGAACACGUUCGACGGUGAGGGAUGAAAGCCGGGGGAGCAAACCGGAUUAGAUACCCGCGUAGUCCCUGUCUCUUAUAA